AUGAUAUAUGCUACCCAUAUCCCCAAAAAGGAGCGGGAGCGCGCACUAAGGGACGUCUAUGCGAUGGAGCCAGUCGCCCCAAAAUACAACCCGUGGUCCUCCUGUUCGAUCACUUUCGAUCGAAGGUACCAUCCGACUAAUAUCCGUCAUGGCGGUUCAGCCACACUGGUGCUAGACCCUAUCAUUGACGGAUUCCACCUCACACGUGUCCUCAUGGACUGUGGUAGCAGCCUGUACCUGCUCUAUCAGGAUACAGUGCGCAAAAUGGGUAUUGAUCCCUCAAGAAUCAAGCCCAACAAAACCACCUUUAAAGGUGUCAUACCAGGUGUAGAGGUCUGUUGUACAGGCUCAAUAUCACUGGAAUUGGUCUUCGGAUCCCCGGAUAGUUUCCGAAGCAAAAAGUUAAUAUUCGAUAUCGUCCCCUUCCGUAGUGGUUAUCACGCACUACUCGGACGAAUUGCAUUCGCUCAUUUCAAUGUGGUGCCGCACUAUGCCUACCUUAACCUUAAGAUGCCUGGACCUUAUGGUGUUAUAACGGUCAACGGAAAUACGAAGCACUCCCUCUGUACUGAGGAGCACAUCGCAGCCCUUGCUGCAGAAGUACAGAAUAGCCUUCUUAGGCAAAACCUCAAUUCGGCAAUAAAGCCCCCGUACACCAUCAAGCGAGUCCGAGCUACUCUGCAACAGGACCGUCCGACUUGUCUAGAGAUCCGCUAG
Molecule: ribosomal RNA, 717 nt
Filed under: Triticum aestivum (bread wheat)
Lineage: Eukaryota; Viridiplantae; Streptophyta; Magnoliopsida; Poales; Poaceae
Description: partial small subunit ribosomal RNA
Source: RNAcentral